AGAGGGAUAGCUGGGUCAAAUGGAGGUUCCAUUCCCAGAUUUCCAAGGAAUCUCCAUACUGCUUUCCAUAUUGGCUGCACCAAUUUGCAGUCCCACCAGCAAU
This 103-nucleotide microRNA precursor is filed under the name Marmota monax (woodchuck). Lineage: Eukaryota; Metazoa; Chordata; Mammalia; Rodentia; Sciuridae. The record is from RNAcentral.